CAUCCUCCAAGGCUAAAUACUCCUGACUGACCGAUAGUAAACCAGUACCGUGAGGGAAAGGCGAAAAGAACCCCGGCGAGGGGAGUGAAAAAGAACCUGAAACCGUGUACGUACAAGCAGUGGGAGCACAGGUUUACCUGUGUGACUGCGUACCUUUUGUAUAAUGGGUCAGCGACUUAUAUUCUGUAGCAAGGUUAACCGAAUAGGGGAGCCGUAGGGAAACCGAGUCUUAACCGGGCGUUAAGUUGCAGGGUAUAGACCCGAAACCCGGUGAUCUAGCCAUGGGCAGGUUGAAGGUUGGGUAACACUAACUGGAGGACCGAACCGACUAAUGUUGAAAAAUUAGCGGAUGACCUGUGGCU
This 362-nucleotide ribosomal RNA is filed under the name Salmonella enterica subsp. enterica serovar Kentucky. Its description in RNAcentral is "partial 23S ribosomal RNA". It matches the Rfam family "Bacterial large subunit ribosomal RNA", at positions 454 to 816 of the family's 2925-position model. The record is from RNAcentral. Lineage: Bacteria; Pseudomonadati; Pseudomonadota; Gammaproteobacteria; Enterobacterales; Enterobacteriaceae.